AUUGAACGCUGGCGGCAUGCUUUACACAUGCAAGUCGAACGGUAACAGGCCGCAAGGUGCUGACGAGUGGCGAACGGGUGAGUAAUGCAUCGGAACGUGCCCAGUCGUGGGGGAUAACUACUCGAAAGAGUAGCUAAUACCGCAUACGAUCUAUGGAUGAAAGCGGGGGACCGUAAGGCCUCGCGCGAUUGGAGCGGCCGAUGUCAGAUUAGGUAGUUGGUGGGGUAAAGGCUCACCAAGCCAACGAUCUGUAGCUGGUCUGAGAGGACGACCAGCCACACUGGGACUGAGACACGGCCCAGACUCCUACGGGAGGCAGCAGUGGGGAAUUUUGGACAAAGGGCGCAAGCCUGAUCCAGCAAUGCCGCGUGCAGGAAGAAGGCCUUCGGGUUGUAAACUGCUUUUGUACGGAACGAAACGGCUCUGGUUAAUACCCGGGGCUAAUGACGGUACCGUAAGAAUAGGCACCGGCUAACUACGUG
This 482-nucleotide ribosomal RNA is filed under the name uncultured bacterium. RNAcentral's name for it is "partial 16S ribosomal RNA". It matches the Rfam family "Bacterial small subunit ribosomal RNA", at positions 30 to 507 of the family's 1533-position model. The record is from RNAcentral.